Non-coding RNA from Oryza sativa Japonica Group (Japanese rice), 2097 nucleotides. The record is from RefSeq and is a predicted model, not a curated record. Lineage: Eukaryota; Viridiplantae; Streptophyta; Magnoliopsida; Poales; Poaceae.
UCGACCUUAACUUUGUUGCCAGAGCUGAAUAUCAAAACCCCAGACGUGUUUGGAGGUCAAAUUUUAUACAUUAUAUCCAAAAAUGUGUAAUUAUUUGAAAGAUACCGCAUGAACACGUUGUUGCUAUAGGACACUGAAAAAAAAUUGUAAUCAGCUCCUAGACACCCAUGACAUUAUUUUAUCAUAUCCAAGAGGAAUUGGAGAUAGAAACAGCUGUGGAUGUAGCUCUACCCAUUGAAACCAAUCGAGCCUCAAUCUCAUACUGGGACCUUUUCUUUUCUUUUUAUUUUUCUCUCUCCUUCUUCUUCCUACCUUCUUCAUUCUCCAGGGAAACAAGAGGAGCGAGAGGGAAUGGACGUCGUUGCUCCAAUAGCUGAGGAACGACGAUGUCAGUGGCAGAACAUGUUACUUUUUGCUUACAUCGAGGGAAAAAGCAGCUACAAGCAGAGGGAGUUGGGGAGGAAGCCAGAACAGUGAAGGCAAAACUCAGCCCUGGCCGGCAAGGUAGGUGACACUUGACAGUUGUUAAGUACAAUUUUGAUUGCCAACUAGCACAAUUAAUCAAAGAAAAAUUAGCAUUUCUUACAGGUAUACUAAUAAAUAAUGUAGUUGUAUUAGGAUUAGAGAAUUAACAUGGAUGCAGGAAUUAUACACUAAAGUGAAGGAGAAAUGAGGCCGGCAAGCAUUUCUGGCAAAUCACGUGAAAGCACAAAGAUUGAGGGGCCCACAGGUCAGCUCAAACCGACUUGAAAUGGGACUAACCCACUAAAAAUCGACUAAGGAGCCCACCUGUCAUCCCUCACCAAAGUUGGUGGGGAAUGACAGUUGGCCUGGUUCGGCCCAACCCUGGCUGGCGCCGUUCAUCCCCUCCUUCCACAUGGACGCUCUAGAGGCACUCCUAAUGCAGUUACUAUAGGUCGGUGCCCUACAACCGCCUUAAUCAACCGUUAUUGAAGCCUAUUUAAGGGGUGGAACUUCUCACUUCACAACACACACUUCAAGGAGCAAAUUCAGUCUUCCACUUUGUAUUUUCUAUAGUUUCUAGUAGGAAUAAAGCUUAGUCGUCUCGGUGUUCUGGGUGUGCCCCACGGAAAGGGAGGUUGGUAGCAGGUGGUCACAACUCUCUCUGUCCUUUGUAUUCCUUCACGUUCGGGUAUAACAUAAGAUUGCAUAAGCGCCAUAACCACGCUGGCAGACUAGCAGGGAGUGGUCUCUCGGUAGUACCUGGGUGCUUGGAACUAAGUCCUAUGUUGUAAGUAUAUAUAUGUUAAGUGUAUACUAGACAUGAUUAGUAGAGAAGUAUAGAUGAAUCGUAGUUUCCUUAAGCUAUUUCCUACUAGAUAUUCUAUUAGAGGUGAAUCUCCUGUGUGUCCACUACCUUAUCAAUCAUUAUCCUAACCCAUGUUUAGAUUAUAGUAAAUUAAUUAUAGAUUGAUAAAAGAGAUAUAAACAUAUCUUUAUACUGCCGCCUUCCCUUCGGAAAUAUAAAUAGUAUACCCUUGGAAAUACUCAUGGCUGAAAUUCUACAACGGUAUCCAUGCAUCUGUGGAUUUAUCUGUAUUCGUAAUAAAUACCAAUAGUGAUGAUAGAUGCUUGAUAGGGUGGCUAAAGAAACAGGAAACUAGGGAAACAGAGUCACUCUGACAAGGCAAAGCGGGUGGCACGAGUGUUUUGCCAACAAGGACUCAGUGAGGGAGAUCGACUGGCGGCUAGAAUGGUUGAGGGAUCAAGAGAGAGAGAGAGAGAUAGAUAGGGAAGAAGAGGGCUCGGAGAGCUCAGUUGUGGGUAAAAAUGGAGAGCUCUCACUUUCUACGUGCUGCCGUUCUGCGGUGACUUCGGCCACUGUGCCACCUACUCCCUUUCCUGGCUACGGUAAGCCGCCACUCCGUCGCCCCUUCUACCACGAGAGCCCCAUCUGCAAACUUGUCUUUAACGGAUAUUUCUCUCUUCAUUUUAUUUGAAAAUAACAAAAUAAUGCCUUGUGUACCCAUCAGUUAAUUACCAGUUUUCUACAGUGGCCUACAAUAGAUACGUGUUCUUGCGGUGUCCCCUGCUAAUUACAAGUUUUUUGGAUGCUAUAUACCAAAUUUUGCUUUA